RNAcentral lists this unclassified non-coding RNA (312 nucleotides) under Hevea brasiliensis (rubber tree). Lineage: Eukaryota; Viridiplantae; Streptophyta; Magnoliopsida; Malpighiales; Euphorbiaceae. The record is from RNAcentral.
UCAAGCACAUUGAAGAAACAUCCCUUGAGGAUGGUUCUUCCUGAGUAUAAACGUAGAAACAAGGAACCACCGGUAGCUCCAGGUCAACCGUUCUUAUCCUUGGAAUUAAAGGGGAAGAAUUGACANAACAGUCUCAGAUUGCUCAUUCUUAUGCAUUUUCUUGGAAUGAGAAGCCAAACUUCCAGCUUCAGAAAGUGCUUUACCCAAAGCCUCAAGAUCCAUGUCCUCAUCACUUUCAUAAUCCAAAUCCUCCAGCCACUCGGUUUUUGAAACUGAAGCAGGAGAAGUCGUCACAGGAACCACAUCUUCAGA